UCAGAACAAUAUAGUUUAGUUAUGGAGAGAUGUAUUUUGCUGAUUCUUAUAGGAGCAGCAGGUGUAUUUGCUGAUAGCAUUGAACCAAAAGACAAGAAUACAAAUAUAAUCAAGACUGAAGGAGAAUCUGUGACACUGAGCUGCACAUAUGAUACAACCAGCAACUAUGUUUGGCUUUACUGGUACAGACAGCAUCCUAACAGUGAACCUCAGUAUUUAUUGUAUAAAAGUGCUCGAUCAAGUGCUAGUGCUGAGAAUAUAGCAGACCGUCGGUUUAAGUCGACAACAUCUUAUUCAUCCACUGAACUCACUGUUAACAGUGCAACUCUGUCAGAUUCAGCUCUAUAUUUCUGUGCACUGAGAGAUGAAGCACAGUGA
Misgurnus anguillicaudatus (oriental weatherfish) is the source of this 378-nucleotide non-coding RNA. NCBI's taxonomy places the organism in Eukaryota, Metazoa, Chordata, Actinopteri, Cypriniformes, Cobitidae. The record is from the annotation of a RefSeq genome assembly.